AUAUUGCAAUCAAUUGAUUUGGACAUAAUCGAUCCUAUUUUUAAUCGAUUGCACCAAAAAUCAGCCACGAUUAUAGCCAAUUGGGGCGAUCGCUAAGUUGCCAGUUUACUGUUUAGCCUCAACCCAACAAUGACGAAGGAACAACAAGGAAGUAGCAAAUUUGCCUUGUCGUUGUCACUGCCAGUGGCCGCCAUGUGAGUAGCACAUAGCUAAGAAACUGAGUUUUGGUUGUUAUAGCUGCAUUUAAAAGAAAAAAUGCUAGAGCGAUUAAUAUCACGUCAAUCAUUUGGACUAUUAUGUGGAAGACGUUUAUAUGAAUCAACUCUUAUCGGAUAGUGUUAAGGGUCCUGUUGAGCUGAGAAACGUUUCUUGGAAACUCGAAAUGAUAAACUAACCUAGUCUCCCAAUGGCAAUCCAUCCUUGCUACAUUUUUUAAAUGUUUACUGAUCUCCUACGACCUAUAUUGCUUUCAAUGACAUGGGCACUUAAAGGAGUUGUAGACCCAUUUGGACGCUAGCAGGAAAAAUUCGAAAGAAGAUUUUCAAAGCAAUUUAAUUUUUAUUCAUCAAGAGGCUGGAGGACUGCAGAAAUGAAGAAUUCUUCCUACCCCCUGUGGCCUGUGCUAAAAUGAAGUACAACUGUAGUGUGUAAUUCUUCAAAGAAGGAUAAACACUUAUUACCUGCAACAAUGUUGAUAAUUACAUUAUCAUAAAACUUCAAAGUCUAGCAUCGUCAGUUGAUUCGUAGGUUGAAGUUCCGCGAAGGCUUUACACAUAUUCUACAGUUUAAGUACUGUCAGGUGACAUGUAAAGUUGAAUUUAUGUGUAGUGAUGACAAAACUUGUAGAGAUUCGCUGGCAAAAAUUUGGUCCCUUCAACGGAAACGAUAAUCUUUUCAUUGCUAGAGUAUUUUCCUCUUCUCAUCAAGGAAUAACCUAAAUUGAAUGUUGUCUUGUGAUGGAUUGGGAUUAUUGGUAAGUUCUGCUUUUAUUCUGACAAAUUCUUAUUAGACUGUUAUGGAAGGUUCUUUUUCACAUUUUGGUACUAAACUAAUUUGGCACAGCAGUUCCUUACAUGUAUGUUAUCGUGGCGAAUGGUAAUGUUAUUGUUUUUCUGAGGACGGAAAAUGGAAAGCGUCACCAACUUUCUGAUCGCUCUCAUCUUCGGUAAGGAGCUUUUAAAAACCUGUGCUGAUUAACUUUUGGUGGAAAAUUUUACGUCGAAGACUGGUAAACUUGCUUGGUCCCGCGGAUAAGCUAAAAACUAGGACACGUCCGUGUCCGUGGCUGAAAGCGAGUGACUCGGACCCAUCCAGUUGGCUUCUAGCCCGUUUGGUAUGAGUUUUCUCCACUUUAUUCGUACGUUUACAGCAAUUGAAUGUGUCCAUCUGAAUAUGGAAACCAGUCGAUACGAGCCCAUUCUGCAAGUUUCGUGGAUCAUUCGUGUCUAUUAAGGAUUUCGACAAAAAUGAGUCACUGCUGGUGGAUACCGCAACAAUUAUGAAACAUUCCACAUGAUUCCUCGACUGCAUCUGAUUGUCAGCGAUGUGGAUGAAAUCGUCAUUUCGCUAAACCAGCAGAGUGUCUUUGAGCCAAAGAAGAUAAGGUCUGGUCAAAUCUCCCUAUACCAACAGUUGAGAGAUUAGUCAACACUCUCAAAUGGUUUAAGGUGAUAUUUUAUUUUUCCGAAAACUUUAGAAACGGGUCACGAAGGAUAUUUUACUCUGCGCCUGUGCAGCGCUCAGGCAAUUAAGCUCAAGAAAAGAUUUGCUUACAUAUUGAUUUGCUCUUUUUUUAAAACGACUUUAGGAUGGUAGACAUUUCUCCGUGUCAAAUGAAAUCGACUUAUUCAAGCGCCUUCGAUCAUUAAUGGAUACAAUGUUCGGACAUGGCAAAAUGUUGUACAAUGUCGGGAUAAGGCAGAUUGAAAUUUGCGAAUUUUUCGUGAUUUUAUGUUCAAACUAAAACAAUGACAAACUGAAUUUAACUUUACAGUAAAGAAGAAGAUUGGCAUGUUGAUAGCCGAACGUUUCCGUGAUGUAGUUCACGAUAUCGGAUUCCAAGUAAACUAUGAUGUUCUUUCAGGACUCCUUUUACGCCAUAUGCGAAAAGUUGGCACAGACACUACGUUUCUGACUAAAUUAUUUUUAGUCCCCCCCCCCCAAAACUCACCAGGAAGUCGGGAACUGGGCAUAACUAUAGCGUAGGCUAACAAAUUUACAUUUCACAGAAACUGAGGAAGAAGCACAUGAGGUAAGCGAUAUUUAGAAGUAAUCUGUAACUGCCCCAUGCAUCACUUACUGCAUCACUAUUACGGCCAGUAAUGCAAUCCGAUAACUGGAGCCAUGUUCCAACAAAUACGAAAACCAUGUCCCACAGCGCAAUCUUCCAAACCUAAAAAAAGCCGACGAUGUUAUGUGACUUAGCAAUCCCAGUAGCCGAAGAUGCUGCAAGAUACUUCAUCUUGGGUCUGGAGCAUUGGCCAAAUCCUAAGGUCAAUGACGCUGAUGUAUGCGGAUAUCCUUGAGUACGGGUAGUCUUUGAAGAAACUGAAGAAUCCUAUCUUAUUCACUAACAGAAGUCUCAAGCGUAACUGGGAAAGAAGAAAUCCAAAUGGAAAAAGUACGGCAGUGGCUUAAAGUUGAUGAUUUAUUAUCUUAUGAACGACAGAAUUUGACUGCCAUGACUCAGCGAGCUGGACUUUUACGAGUUAGACUUCAGUCAACUUCCAAUCAUGAAUUGAUGCAGCAGCAAUACUCUGGAUACACUGCUGAAAGAGCACACACACGGCAGAAACCGGCGAGAUCAUUGCAGCCAUUAAAAACGCCUUUAAAAAACAAUCACAUGUGUACAUGUACUAUUUUCCUCGUUUUUUGCUGUUUUAUAUGACUGCCAAUUGAUUCUAUGGUGUCACUUUUCCCAUGACUUAGAAUUUGAGCAAUUCCUUUUACAACUCGCGUUGGUUGUAAAUUAGGAUAACAGAUGGCGCAACUGCAGAUCUGUCGUUGUUUUGGGUGUGACAAGUGAAACGUAUGUUUGAAUUUUUGUGAACUAUGUUACAUUCCAGUGAUAAGUUUGAUAAAAUUAAAUGGUGUGAUUUCAUCUUUUGAAAGUUUUUCAUUCAUUCCUGUGUUUUUGGAGUGAGAAAAAUCAAGUGGAUUAUUUUGUGUUCAACAGGUAAACUUGUGAUUAGCUAUGGCAGCUGCCAGAUCCAAACUAUUAUUGUUACAUUCCCAUCAUGCUAUUCUAUUGCACGUUGAGAGAAGUAGUUGAUGAAACCUAAAUAGCAAAAGAUACUAACCGUGAGGAAAGGUUAGAAAUGACACAAACUAUAUGAGUAGCAAUACUGCCAUGACAAUAAUGUCAUUCUGCUACUUGUUACUCAUUCAUCAUGUCCUGUCAGUUUUGAUCUGAAAAGUGCAUCAAAUAUUGUGUUGCAAACCAUUAACCAUAACAAUUUCUACAAUCUUCUCAUCAUUUCUACUUAACCUAUCAAGUGGUAGGAUUUUGAGUUGCAGGCUCAUGUAUCAAAAAUAAAAAGAAUGCUGGCCUCGAAGGGAGAUCAUCACCAAUGCAAAAGGAAUGGAUUGGAAUACCACAGGUCAUUCUAUACGCUUUGGCCACUCAUCAUCUCAUCCAACACAUGUCUUCGCCUUGCCCGUAGCCCAGUCUUGGCUUCGCCCGUCGCCCCAUCUUCGCUUCGCCGUCGCCCCGUCUUCGCUUCGUCCGUCUCCCCGUCUUCACUUCGCUUCGCCCGUCGCCCCGUCUUCGCUUCGCUUCGCCCGUCGCCCCGUCUUCGCUUCGCCCGUCAACCCAUCUUCGCUUCGCCCGUCGUCUCGUCAACGCUUCUUGGCCACCCCCUCUUCACUUCAUCGCCUCGUCUUUGUGGUAUCUUUGUAUUUUGUAAUGUUUAACUGUGUAGUGUUAAUUAACCCGUUGGCUGCCACCCACUUUGAUCCCCUUUUUUUUGAAAAGCUUGUUAGGGUCCGGCAGCGCUGUUCUGCCCAAUGGUCUAUAUGCCAUGGGUGGGACAGUUGCACAAGCCGUGUGGCUCAAAGUCGAUCGUCGAGGCAAUGUACCAGUAGGGACUUUCCCUUUUUCGAUGCUUUGAUGGUUGCCUGGAGUGUACAUUCUCACAAAGGCUUCUGUCAUCGUGUCAGCCCGGAUUUGUCGUAGGACAAGUCCCCCUUGGUCGCUAUCCAUUAGAUAGCGAUGUAGCUAGCGUAGAUUUAGUGGCGUGGCAGCCAACGGGUUAGUUUCAUGUAUGUGUUUUUUAUUGUAUUGUAUUGUACUGUAAAAUGUAAAAUCUUGUGGUGGAUUUGUGGGUGGAUGGAGGGAAAAUAAAGACUUUAAUUCGUAUUUUAA
This 4363-nucleotide long non-coding RNA is filed under the name Daphnia magna. Its description in RNAcentral is "uncharacterized LOC116921857, transcript variant X13". Lineage: Eukaryota; Metazoa; Arthropoda; Branchiopoda; Diplostraca; Daphniidae. The record is from RNAcentral.